GGGAACUCCACAAUUCUCUUUUAAUUAGAAAAAUGUUUGAUAAACCCAAAAUAAUUAAAACACCUAAUCAUGCUUCACACUUUGUCUUAUUACCCCACAGACCACAUGAGACAAGAGAAAGACCCCUCGAAACUUAUAUUCCAUUUGCUACAAUUGACCAUCUGGGGAAAGCAGACAAAGACCAAACUUCCAGAAACUUGGAGACAGGGAGAGCACAGAGGAUCUUCCGCUGCUCUCAUCGGGGGCAGGAGCCAAGCCUGGCAUUGUUGGAACUGGAGAGAGACGUGCUAGAGUGCAGAAUGUUCAUCGGGGUGAAUGGAAAGAUGUAGAAGAAAUGUGCUUACAAGGUCUGGACCUUAACCCUCUGAACCACCGCAGAACUCCACCACCCAUGUUUUAAACUGGGCUCUUUCCCAAGAUUUUACUGCUGUCCUGAGUGCACCCGCCAGCGGCAAGGGCACUGUCACCUUUCUUACACUCUGCCCCCUUCACCACGCCAGUGUUAAGACUUCAUCAAGCAAGCCUGGGAUCAUUUCUCCCUGCCUAACCUGGAUGGAGACCAGGAUGCUGUGUCCUACUGUG
Molecule: long non-coding RNA, 582 nt
Filed under: Sus scrofa (pig)
Lineage: Eukaryota; Metazoa; Chordata; Mammalia; Artiodactyla; Suidae
Description: lncRNA (ENSSSCG00070018225.1)
Source: RNAcentral